RNAcentral lists this ribosomal RNA (478 nucleotides) under uncultured bacterium. Its description in RNAcentral is "partial 16S ribosomal RNA". It matches the Rfam family "Bacterial small subunit ribosomal RNA", at positions 28 to 507 of the family's 1533-position model. The record is from RNAcentral.
GAUGAACGCUGGCGGCGUGCUUAACACAUGCAAGUCGAACGGGAAACCUUUUAAUGAAGCUUCGGCAGAUUUAGCUGGUUUCUAGUGGCGGACGGGUGAGUAACGCGUGGGUAACCUGCCUUAUACAGGGGGAUAACAGUCAGAAAUGACUGCUAAUACCGCAUAAGCGCACAGGACCGCAUGGUCCGGUGUGAAAAACUCCGGUGGUAUAAGAUGGACCCGCGUUGGAUUAGCUUGUUGGUGGGGUAACGGCUCACCAAGGCGACGAUCCAUAGCCGGCCUGAGAGGGUGAACGGCCACAUUGGGACUGAGACACGGCCGAGACUCCUACGGGAGGCAGCAGUGGGGAAUAUUGCACAAUGGGGGAAACCCUGAUGCAGCGACGACGCGUGAAGGAAGAAGUAUCUCGGGAUGUAAACUUCGAUAAGCAGGGAAGAUAGUGACGGUACCUGACUAAGAAGCCCCGGCUAACUACGUG